This 578-nucleotide long non-coding RNA is filed under the name Bos mutus (wild yak). RNAcentral describes it as "lncRNA (ENSBMUG00000012471.1)". The record is from RNAcentral. Lineage: Eukaryota; Metazoa; Chordata; Mammalia; Artiodactyla; Bovidae.
GGGGGUGGGAGCGUGGGAGGGGGGCUGCCUCCUCUCUCUCCUCCCUCUACCCCUCCUUUCUUCUCUCUCUCUCUUCCCCUCCCUCCUCGCUUACCUCGCCUCUCUCCCUCUAUCUCUCCCUCAUUUCCUUUCUUUCUCUUCUCCCUCUCUCCUCCAGUCCCCCCCCCCACCCUCUUUCUUACUCUCCCCUCCCUCUCUCCUCUCCUUCUCUCGCCCUCCCUCUCUCUUCUCCCUCUCCCUUCAAGUCUGGCACUGAACGCGAACUGUUUUGCUUUGCUCCGAGAAGAGUGCAGACACAGAACGUGAAAUCCCGAGCUUUUUUUUUUUUUUUGCGUGGUGCAUUUAAAACGCUUCCUUAUUUAUAUUACCCUCAUUCCCUCACCUCUCCCACCCCCUCACCAGCCUUUCCAAAUUUCCCUAGAAAUCUCUAUAAAGCGUGCGGAGGGGAAAACAUUUGCACAAAAAGUGAAGGAGCUCGCCAAGGUAGUCAAACCUGCCCUGACACCUGGACGUCUGCAUGAGGGGUGGUCACUGAAGGAGGAGUUGUCAGAGGCCAUAGGAGCUAAAGAGUCUGUGCA